This 783-nucleotide ribosomal RNA is filed under the name Penicillium chrysogenum. Its description in RNAcentral is "eukaryotic LSU rRNA". The stretch from base 475 to 627 matches the Rfam family "5.8S ribosomal RNA". The record is from RNAcentral. Lineage: Eukaryota; Fungi; Ascomycota; Eurotiomycetes; Eurotiales; Aspergillaceae.
CCCCCGAAUACCGGGGGCAUGGCUUCAAGACUCAUAUUCACUAAUUGCAAUUCACAUUACUAUCGAUUUCGCGCUUCUUCAUCAUGCGGAACCAAGAAUCUGUUUAAAGUUUUAAAUAAUUUAUAUUUUCACUCAGACUUCAAUCUUCAGACAGAUUCGAGUUCUUCGGGGGCGCCCGGGCGUAAGCCCCCCCGCGCCAGUUAAGCGGCCCGCCGAAGCAACAAGGUAAAAUAAACACGGUGGAGGUUGACCCAGAGGCCCUCACUCUGUAAUGAUCCUAACUUGCGGAAGGAUCAUUACCGAGUGAGGGCCCUCUGGGUCCAACCUCCCACCCGUGUUUAUUUUACCUUGUUGCUUCGGCGGGCCCGCCUUAACUGGCCGCCGGGGGGCUUACGCCCCCGGGCCCGCGCCCGCCGAAGACACCCUCGAACUCUGUCUGAAGAUUGAAGUCUGAGGAAAAUAUAAAUUAUUUAAAACUUUCAACAACGGAUCUCUUGGUUCCGGCAUCGAUGAAGAACGCAGCGAAAUGCGAUACGUAAUGUGAAUUGCAAAUUCAGUGAAUCAUCGAGUCUUUGAACGCACAUUGCGCCCCCUGGUAUUCCGGGGGGCAUGCCUGUCCGAGCGUCAUUGCUGCCCUCAAGCCCGGCUUGUGUGUUGGGCCCCGUCCCCCGAUCUCCGGGGGACGGGCCCGAAAGGCAGCGGCGGCACCGCGUCCGGUCCUCGAGCGUAUGGGGCUUUGUCACCCGCUCUGUAGGCCCGGCCGGCGCUUGCCGAUCAACCCAA